This 240-nucleotide ribosomal RNA is filed under the name Burkholderia vietnamiensis. RNAcentral describes it as "partial 23S ribosomal RNA". It matches the Rfam family "Bacterial large subunit ribosomal RNA", at positions 1 to 244 of the family's 2925-position model. The record is from RNAcentral. Lineage: Bacteria; Pseudomonadati; Pseudomonadota; Betaproteobacteria; Burkholderiales; Burkholderiaceae.
GGUCAAGCGAACAAGUGCAUGUGGUGGAUGCCUUGGCGAUCACAGGCGAUGAAGGACGCGGUAGCCUGCGAAAAGCUACGGGGAGCUGGCAAACGAGCUUUGAUCCGUAGAUGUCCGAAUGGGGAAACCCGGCCCUUUUGGGUCAUCCUGGACUGAAUACAUAGGUCCAGAGAAGCGAACGCGGUGAACUGAAACAUCUAAGUAACCGCAGGAAAAGAAAUCAACCGAGAUUCCCAAAGU